CAACCGGGGGCCUCAGUACAGGUGGUGCCACCAAAACCUCCUCCUGGGGUGCGGCCGCAGGCGCCGCACGCGAAGAACUGGGCGCGGGGGACGGCGCUCUCGGUGCAACGUCCACAACUGGUGCUGGCGGUGUAGGGGCCUGAGUCUCCCUAGAAGCUGCCGCCUGCUGCAAUAGUAGGUCCUCCAGACGCUUCAUCCGCGCCUCCUGUCGGCGCGCCGCCUCGGUCUGCUGUCGGGCCGCCUCCGCCUGCUGAGUGACCAAAUCAGUGAGGACCGCAAGCUGGCCCCUCAACUCACGGACCUCGCUGGAUCCGGAGGUAGCGGAGGUCUCGACCUCCUCGAAGUUUGCCGCAUUGUCCGCCCCGGCAGAUUGGGAGCGAGUAAUCGGCAUCGUCACUACAACAUCAUAAAAGCGCAAGUUAGAAAUACUCACGCUAUCGCAUCCCCGCUCAAAAGACAAACCCCAAAUCAUGCGAAAGUAAAGAAGUGUUCUUCACUACUAACUCCCGAUGUUACGUUGUCGGCCGCCAACGUAACCCUCCGCGAAGUUAGAAGCCAAACACUCCAAUCAACUCUAACUUUUUAGAGUUAUCAUAAUACCCAAUCAUGAUACUUUCGCUCACAAGUCGAAUAGACCUCGUCUCUCACGAGCCUAUUUCCUAUAGUCCAACCGGCCUAAGGUUUGCUAGGUCCCCUAAGACUCAACCCUAGGCUCUGAUACCAAAUUAAUCUGUCACGCCCCGGGACCCAGCGGAAGCCCGCCCGGCGCGUGCCCAGACCCGCCAUAUGUCUACAACAUAUAAGGCGUCUAAAAACAACAAUAAUAAAAGCAAUAAUAAAAGACAUCUAGGAGUAUCAGAGCAUAAUAAAUGUCUAAAUGCUACAACAAGGGAUAAGGAUAAAACUGUAAAUCCACUAAAUAAAACAUAAAGUGAUACAAGAAAAUCCCAGAUACAAGUGCUAUAGGUAGAUACAUAGGUGGUCUCUAUACAUGGAUACAAAAACUCUCACUCUCUCUCAACUACAAAAAGAAUGAGUAAACCACCUAGGCAAGGUACCGCUCCUCGCUAGCUAUCUAAGCGAUCCCCUUGCCGCGAUCCCGUGCCUCCGCCGGUGCCGAAGGCUCUGAAAAGUAAACCAUAAAACAGGGGCGUGAGAACUAUUAAAAAUAGUUCCCAGUGGGCAAUUACUGACUUCAGUGAAUGCACCACAAGGCCCAAAGCUACAAAAGAUGUCAGUGACUAUAAAAGUAGAAAAGCGAAAGGUAAGUAAAAAUGUAACUUACUACAACAUGAUAUCUCUACUUAGCAUAAUUAGCAUAAGUAUGAAGCAACUAUGCAUGAAGUAAAAGUCUCCAACUAUCAUAAUGUUCACAAUGCGAAAUAGUAAAGUUCCGUUGUUUACUAUUCUAGUCAAUGUCCAAGUAAUACUCUAAGUCAUCAUCUGUCCACAUGUCAUAAUGAAUACUCAAGUCAAAUCUGAAGAGACCCACCCGAAGGCUGUCUAUGGCCCUGAGACCCACCCGUAGGCUGUCUGGCCGGUGCCGAGCCUAAUGGCCCCGUGGUAGUCAUCAUCCCCACCCUAGGAAUGAGCCUGUCCCACGGCAAUCCACUUCGGCGCCCAAUCCCGCACGGCGAAUAUGAAUCGCGAUGGCUAUCUCCGGAGUGCCGGCUUGUAGGGAGCGACCCUCACAAGCAUGUGCGAAUGAGCACAAAUGGCAAGCAAGCAAUGAUCCGUCUCAAGUACCAAGUCCUCAUGUCUAACAACAUGGAAUAUAUCAAGUAUCUCAAUGGCCUAUCUCUAUGUCAUCAUGUCUCUAACAUGGAAUAUAGCAGAUACGUAGUGGCCUAUCAAUAUGUCUCUAUGUUGCAGUUUAAUAGUUUACUAGUUUCAAGUGCCCCUUGAUGACACUCUUGUUUUUCUAUGUCAAAGCAUGGCAACUAUAUUUCAAAGUACAUGUUCCAAGUCAUGAUCCUCAUAAGAGAUGUACUUUCCACUUGCAAAAUGAACACUUUUCCCGUAUGCAUGCGUUCUACUCAUAUAGCUUUACUAUAUAGUGAAAUUUUUCAUAAUACACAAGGCAUGCAUUUUAAGUGCUCUAAAAUCCAUAUAAAUUCCAUUUAGCAUAGAAAUCAACUUAAAAAUAUUUUACAACAAGUAGAAAGAGCAUAGAGGCCAUUUCGCCCCAUUUCCACGAAGCCAAACCCACCGAUGACAACGAAACUCCUCGUUCGCUCCCACGAGGGUGUCCUCUAGUCUCCUAGUACCCUAGAGGUAUAGAAACAUGUGUCAUACGAGAUAAACAAACAAUACCUAGCUCAAUCAUUAAGCUAAUCAAGUAUAGGUGAGAAGAACUCACCUCUAGUGCAAAAAUCUCCUCUAAAGCUCCAAAAGAGAGCUAGAGCCCUUCCAAUCCAACCAAAAGGAAGCCUCUAAUCCACUCAAACUAGCUCAAGAGCUCUAGAUUCAAAAUGCCCAAUUUAAGCCCUAAAACCUCAUUCUAGGGUUUCAUCUUACAAAAACCUCAAAUCAAGGAUCAAAGGGAGAAAUCAAGUCUCUAACCUCUCAAGAAGCUCCAAACUUAGCUCCAAUCCAAGUGAUGUUGAAGAUCUCCGCAGCCACUAGCUCCUCUCCAAGCUCUAAGCCAUCAACAAUGGUGGAGAAGCCACCAAGAUGCAAAUAGAGGAGAGAAAACCCAAUAAAAACCAAGCAAAAGGAGUAAAAAUGCAAAGGAAGGGAGAGAGAGCUUCUCCUACCUCCAUUCCUGCUGGUCUCUGCACAGGGGAGGCCCUAAGGGGCGUGGGGUGCACUUAUAGAAGUGCUACAAUAGCAAAAACACCCCUGCAGACCAAACUGCACGAAAACUGCCUCCUUGUACCGGUACACGGGCUCUUGUACCGGUACAAGGCCCACGAAAAUACAAACCCGAGGCUCGGGUCGCGGGGUCUGCGGCUCUGUACCGGUACAAGCCCGAUGGCUGUACCGGUACAACCAUCAACNUCAAUUUAACUCCACUUUCUAGAGUUAUUCAAGAUACCCAAUCUAGAUACUUUUGCUUACAAGUCGAAUAGACCUCGUCUCUCACGAGCCUAUUUCCUAUAGUCCAACCGGCCUAAGGUUUACUAGGUCCCCUAA
RNAcentral lists this long non-coding RNA (3135 nucleotides) under Ananas comosus (pineapple). Its description in RNAcentral is "long non-coding RNA (ACOM_LNC010061)". The record is from RNAcentral. Lineage: Eukaryota; Viridiplantae; Streptophyta; Magnoliopsida; Poales; Bromeliaceae.